AUGCUUAAAAGCACAAAACUGUCUUCCCUUGCAAGUGGAAACAGCAAGAGUAAUCUUUAAUUGCUUACCAGAUGAAAUGUUCAGCCCAUCUCCAGAUAUUUUUAUUGACCAACACAAUAAUUAGGUAAAACUUAGUUACCUGGAGAAAUGAAAAGUGCAGCUGACCAUGAGCAGCCAGAAUGUAUUUUCUUUCCUUUUAGCUACAUUUUUUUAAUUUAAUAUCUUUUUCUAGAUGUGUGUCUCACUAUAUGAUUGUUCAGUCCAUCAAGUGAUUAACAGAACUGUCCACUUACAUAUGGAGAAAAUGUCUUUACAAGUUCUGGUAAUAUUUAUUUCUUUGGUAAACCCUGUAGAAAUGAUAGGUUUUCAUGAGUUACUCCUUCAAC
This is a long non-coding RNA of Dermochelys coriacea (leatherback sea turtle), 386 nucleotides long. RefSeq lists it as uncharacterized. The transcript has 3 exons. The record is from RefSeq and is a predicted model, not a curated record. NCBI's taxonomy places the organism in Eukaryota, Metazoa, Chordata, Testudines, Dermochelyidae.